Molecule: non-coding RNA, 30 nt
Filed under: Mus musculus (house mouse)
Lineage: Eukaryota; Metazoa; Chordata; Mammalia; Rodentia; Muridae
Source: RNAcentral
UGCUUUAGGGAGUUUCACACUGUCUGUGGC